This 586-nucleotide ribosomal RNA is filed under the name uncultured bacterium. Its description in RNAcentral is "bacterial SSU rRNA". It matches the Rfam family "Bacterial small subunit ribosomal RNA", at positions 338 to 916 of the family's 1533-position model. The record is from RNAcentral.
CCUACGGGAGGCAGCAGUGGGGAAUUUUGGACAAUGGGCGCAAGCCUGAUCCAGCCAUGCCGCGUGCAGGAUGAAGGCCUUCGGGUUGUAAACUGCUUUUGUACGGAACGAAAAGACUCUGGUUAAUACCUGGGGUCCAUGACGGUACCGUAAGAAUAAGCACCGGCUAACUACGUGCCAGCAGCCGCGGUAAUACGUAGGGUGCGAGCGUUAAUCGGAAUUACUGGGCGUAAAGCGUGCGCAGGCGGUUAUAUAAGACAGAUGUGAAAUCCCCGGGCUCAACCUGGGAACUGCAUUUGUGACUGUAUAGCUAGAGUACGGCAGAGGGGGAUGGAAUUCCGCGUGUAGCAGUGAAAUGCGUAGAUAUGCGGAGGAACACCGAUGGCGAAGGCAAUCCCCUGGGCCUGUACUGACGCUCAUGCACGAAAGCGUGGGGAGCAAACAGGAUUAGAUACCCUGGUAGUCCACGCCCUAAACGAUGUCAACUGGUUGUUGGGUCUUCACUGACUCAGUAACGAAGCUAACGCGUGAAGUUGACCGCCUGGGGAAGUACGGCCGCAAGGUUGAAACUUCAAUUGAUUGACGG